Molecule: ribosomal RNA, 253 nt
Filed under: uncultured bacterium
Lineage: Bacteria
Description: partial 16S ribosomal RNA
Rfam family: Bacterial small subunit ribosomal RNA
Source: RNAcentral
UACAGAGGUCUCAAGCGUUGUUCGGAUUCAUUGGGCGUAAAGGGUGCGUAGGUGGCGGGGUAAGUCAGGUGUGAAAUCUCGGGGCUCAACUCCGAAACUGCACUUGAUACUGCCUUGCUCGAGUACUGGAGAGGAGAUUGGAAUUUACGGUGUAGCAGUGAAAUGCGUAGAUAUCGUAAGGAAGACCAGUGGCGAAGGCGAAUCUCUGGACAGUUACUGACACUGAGGCACGAAGGCCAGGGGAGCAAACAGG